GAUGCUGAUGCUUGCCGGUGGUGGCGAGCUCUCUUGUUUAGUUUCUGCUGCUGGAGGGGUCGUAAGAUCAUCGAUGUCUAUCGCCUUCGUGGCUACUCCAGGUUCUUCUCCUUCGCUGAUUACUGCUGGUUUUUCGGUUUUGCUAGCGGCUUUUGGAUCCUCUUGUAGCAGCGGACUCUCUUCCUCGCUGGUGGGAGUCGUUUCCUCGACUUGCUCUUUGUCUUCCUUCUGAGCGUCUGCUAGCUCGUCUUCGACAGUGAUGGGAGCUGCGUCAUCUGGAGCAGUGAUAGCUUUGUCUUUGGCUGGUGUGAAAUCUUCUGGUACUCUUUCAGCUUCUUUCUCUUUCUCUUCCUCUUGAGUUCCUUCGUCUUUGGCAGUGAUGGGAGCUGCUUCGUCUGGAACAAUGAGAUCUUUGUCUUCGCCUGGUGUGGAAACUUCUGGUACUGCUUUCUCUUUGUCUUCCUCCUGAGUUUCUGCGAGCUGAGUUCCAUCGUCUUCGGCAGUAAUGAGAGCUGCUUCGUCUAGAGCAAUGUCGCCUUUGUCUUCGGCUGGUGUUGUUGCUUCUUCCUUGUCGUUCUCGUGGACGAUGCUUGUUGUUUCGAGCUCCUUAGCCUUCUGAUCCUCGCGAUUCUCUGCUGGAUGAGUUCCUUCACCAGCAGCUACCGCCGCUUCUUUCUCUUCGUCCGCAGAUACUAUUGUUUCUUCAACUGUUGCUUCUUCAUCUUUGCCCGCUUCUUGGUCCGGAAAGGUGACAUCUGCGUCGUGAAAUUCUUCCUUGUCCGGACUUAUACCUUCUGCUACUUGAGUUUCGUCGUGCACCUCCUCCUUGUCCGGAAUUGUAUCUCCUGCUACUUGAGUUUCGUUGUGCACCUCUUCCAUGUCCGGAAUAAGAGUUUCCUUGUGCACCUCGUCCUUGUCCAGAAUUAUAUCUUCGGCUACUUGAGUUUCGUCGUGCACCUCUUCCUUGUCCGGAAUUAUAUCUUCGGCUACUUGAGCUUCAUCGUGGAUCUCUUCUCUGUCUGGAAUUAUGUCUUCUGCUGUCUGAGUGCUCGUGGAAAGAGCAUCCGUUUGGAGAACUGUUGUUUCUUUCUCUUUCUCUCCGCUUGGAUCUUGAUCUUCUGCUACUUGAAAUCUUUCCUCGCGUUUGUCAGUUGCUUCCAUCUCCGAGUUUUCUGCGAUCUUAGCCUGAGUUUCUUCACUGCUCACUGUUUCUUGCACCUUUUCUUCGUCGUCGCCAGCAGCUGGAACAUUCCUGUCCACGGCUUCGUCUUUCAAAGGUUCGUGUUCAAUCAGAUUUGUUGACUCCUCGGUGUCUCUAAUAUCUUGCUCGCCUUCUUCAGUCCGACCUUCCACUGGAUUUUGGAUUGCUUCGUCACCACCUUCGACUGCCUUGUCCUCCCUGGCUUCGAUAGCUCCCUCGACAUCUUGGACUGUCGACGGCAAGUCUUCUCCCCCUUUAUCAUCAGCUUCACUUUGCAGCGUAAUCUCCUCGUGUGGUUUCUCUCCGACUUCUUCAGCAGCUGUGUUCUCAAUUCCAUCUUGAAGCUCAAGUCCUCUGUCAGCCUCAUCUGUCUUUAAUAGCCCUUGACUUUCCAAAACCAGUUCGCCAGCAGACGCUUGAUCGUUUCUAGUCGUCUCUUUGCCAUCUGCGUCUAUUGCUGCUUGAUCCUCAGCUCCAUCCAACUGUUCUCCUGCUUGCUUAGUGACCACACUUUCAUCUGUUGCUGGUUCAACUUCCACAGCACUGCCUUCGUCUGUAUCCUUACUUUCCUGGAUGCUAUGGUCUUCGGUAACUCCAGAGUCCUCCAGCUUCUCAAUUUGUGCAUCUCUGCCUUCGUCAGCCUCAACUUUGGAUUUGGCGUCAUCGUCCAAAGUUGUCCCGCUUUCUUCUGUUGUCAUCGUUGGUAGUUCGUCUUCGGUUCUCUUGUCAGCAACGGUAUCUUUUGUUUCUUCCGAUGAUCCGGCAGCUAGUUCGUCGCCCUCGAUUUUGUCUAGAGGUACUGCAUCUUCAACGUUGGAACUUUCGACUUCCUGAUCAGCCUUGUCUUCGGUUGGUGUCCCGUCAACUUGGUCUUGUCCGUGCAAUGUGGUCUCAUUCUCUGCUUCGUGGACUUGCUCAGCCUCGCGUGGUGUUUCUUCAGCCGCUUCUUUCUUGUCUUGAGCAUCAGACUCUGGUGCAGCAGAUACUUGAUCAGUUCCAUGAUCCUCGCCUGCGUCUACUUCGUGAUCUCCACUGCUCGUCUUUUCUUCGACACUUUUGCUUCCAGAUUCCUCUGCGGCGUCUAUCUCCACCAUCGGUUCUGUUGCUAGUUGUUCCUCACUAACAGUUGCGCUUCCGUCUGGAACAGCUUCCUCGAGUAUCCCAGAUUUGUCAGCCAGCUCUUCUUUGGCUUGCACUUUACUUUCUGGAUCUU
Molecule: long non-coding RNA, 2414 nt
Filed under: Selaginella moellendorffii
Lineage: Eukaryota; Viridiplantae; Streptophyta; Lycopodiopsida; Selaginellales; Selaginellaceae
Description: long non-coding RNA (SMOE_LNC001388)
Source: RNAcentral